RNAcentral lists this ribosomal RNA (767 nucleotides) under uncultured Pseudoalteromonadaceae bacterium. RNAcentral's name for it is "bacterial SSU rRNA". It matches the Rfam family "Bacterial small subunit ribosomal RNA", at positions 28 to 776 of the family's 1533-position model. Lineage: Bacteria; Pseudomonadati; Pseudomonadota; Gammaproteobacteria; Alteromonadales; Pseudoalteromonadaceae. The record is from RNAcentral.
AUUGAACGCUGGCGGCAGGCCUAACACAUGCAAGUCGAGCGGAAACGAGUUAUCUGAACCUUCGGGGAACGAUAAGGCGUCGAGCGGCGGACGGGUGAGUAAUGCCUAGGAAAUUGCCCUGAUGUGGGGGAUAACCAUUGGAAACGAUGGCUAAUACCGCAUGAUGCCUACGGGCCAAAGAGGGGGACCUUCGGGCCUCUCGCGUCAGGAUAUGCCUAGGUGGGAUAGCUAGUUGGUGAGGUAAGGGCUCACCAAGGCGACGAUCCCUAGCUGGUCUGAGAGGAUGAUCAGCCACACUGGAACUGAGACACGGUCCAGACUCCUACGGGAGGCAGCAGUGGGGAAUAUUGCACAAUGGGCGCAAGCCUGAUGCAGCCAUGCCGCGUGUAUGAAGAAGGCCUUCGGGUUGUAAAGUACUUUCAGUCGUGAGGAAGGUAGUGUAGUUAAUAGCUGCAUUAUUUGACGUUAGCGACAGAAGAAGCACCGGCUAACUCCGUGCCAGCAGCCGCGGUAAUACGGAGGGUGCGAGCGUUAAUCGGAAUUACUGGGCGUAAAGCGCAUGCAGGUGGUUUGUUAAGUCAGAUGUGAAAGCCCGGGGCUCAACCUCGGAAUAGCAUUUGAAACUGGCAGACUAGAGUACUGUAGAGGGGGGUAGAAUUUCAGGUGUAGCGGUGAAAUGCGUAGAGAUCUGAAGGAAUACCGGUGGCGAAGGCGGCCCCCUGGACAGAUACUGACACUCAGAUGCGAAAGCGUGGGGAGCAAACAGG